CCACCAGUGAAUCCCGGUAACGAGGUUGUCUUACUUGUCAUAAAAAACCCUGUGAUUAACUGUAAAACAAUAACAAGAAGCUUGGCGUAAGGCUGGCAAACAAAAUAGCAAUUCUGUUACAAGAAAGUUCUAAUUUAUAAAUAACUAUAGACACAACAUAGAUGAAAUUAUGGCUGCUACUGCUCAGAAACCUUUAACUUUAUCUUCCGACAUUGAAAGAGCAAUCCAACUUCUUGACGAGCUGAGUGAAAGAAACGAUUUACCUGUUCAGAAAUUUCAAAAUCUUAAAGAGGUUUUGGAAAGUAAUUUUUGUCAAAGUGUGAAAGAAGUUUAUGAGCAAGUAUAUGACACCGUAGACUUUGAUACUAACGAUGAAGUUCGAGCAAAUGCUACAGCAAAGGCCACUGUAGCAGCUUUUGCAGCAAGCGAGGGUCAUGCCCAUCCACGCAUAGUCGAGCUGCCGAAAACUGAGGAAGGACUUGGCUUCAAUGUUAUGGGUGGUCGUGAGCAAAGCUCACCAAUAUACAUUUCAAGAAUUAUACCAAAAGGCGUGGCUGAAUUACAUGGUGGUUUGAAGAGAGGUGAUCAACUGCUGGCAGUUAAUGGCGUCAGUGUCGAAGGGGAAAACCACGAACGAGCUGUCGAUCUACUAAAAGCUGCACGAGGCACCGUCAAAUUAGUCGUUAAGUACACUCCACAAGUUCUCGAUGAGAUGGAAAAAAGAUUCGAACGUCAAAGGACGGCGAAGAAAUAGUGUAGCUUAAUGUAAGAAUACACUUUUUACACCUGGCAGAAUUCACGCGCUGUUCGCACAACGGAGGAGAGUCUUCGCGCUCACUGACAUUUAAAUGAAAUGUACAUAGAUACAACGCGAAUUAUUUGGUAUUUUUAAUGAGCACCAAACUUAACUCCCAUGCCAAUUAAGCACCUACUAUUGAAUCAUCGAUUUAAACCAUCCAUUUGCGCUUAAUCUGUCAUUUGCAAUAUUUCUCGAUUAUUUAUCUCGAAGAUAUAUCUUAAUUAUAUGUCUCGAUUAUAUGUCUCGAUUAUAUGUCUCGAUUAUUUGUCUCGAUUAUAUAGCACAUGCAGCUAUUACUCAAACACCAUGAAAAAGCUGAAAAUAAUUGUCCAAAAAGUUGUUUUUUGUUGCCCAAGUGAUUUUUUCCACCGAAUUUACAACAAAUUUCUGAAUUAAUUACACGUGGAUCACAGCAAAUGUACAUGUGCCACUCACUCUAGCUUCCAGACCCAAACAAGCUUGAAGAUAGGGAUUUCAAAAAUAAAUUUGAUUGUAUUUUCUUUUUGGGUGGUAUUACGACUUUAAUUUAACUGCGCUCUUGUUGCUAUAGCGACGUUUUAGCGAACAACCCUAAAAUUAUUUCCCGCAUUGUCCAUCCUUUUUAAUUAGCGAAAUAAAACCUAGAACCCUCCCAGAGGUCGGAUCUUUAGUUUUUUAUGUCAUCAAACGGAAGUAAGCGAUGCUUGUCGUUUGCAUAUAACUAGAAUGAGAGACGUAGAUACAUUUUUUUUUGUUAACAAAGUUUAUGUUUAAGAGAGGAUCAGACUGAAACAUUUGUUAUAUGGAUAAUUGGUGUUUAUUAUUGCAGGGAACUACUAGUAGAAAUUUUUCGCCAAUAAAUCAUUGACUGGUUGUUUUAGUUGUGUGUUUUUAUAUCAAUUUGUAACUGUGGCUGGUCAUAUUUUUAACUAGGUCUCCAUGUCAAGUGAAAUUUAAUUUAAUGCGCUAGAAAAACUAGGCGAAUGUCUUUGCGGAGGGAUUUUUUUAUGUUGCGGCUAUGCUCACCUGUUAUAUAUAUAACAAAAAUUCGUUGAUUUGUAGCAAGUGCUACAAAUGCGGUGUUACUCGCUACAAAUUCGGAAUUCGUUAGCCGGCAUUUUGAAAUGGAUAAACUAUUUGACGACGUGCUGCAUAAAUACUUAUAAAUUUGUUCAAAUUAGGUGGAUAGAAAAAUUGAUUAUAGUAAACCACUCAGAUGACAAGUUGUAAUUUUGAUAAUCAACGGAUAAUUUGUCACAACUUUGAACUGCCGAUAGAAACGUUGAGUAUGUCAGCGAUGGCUAAAGUUAUUUAAUCUUUUGCAUCUGAUCAAAAACGCCGUACAAAGGCGUGAAAAUGUCGGUAGCAAACACUGAAAUAUUGUGAUUGGCUACUUAUUAAAUUUUAUCAGUUCCACAACUACACCUUCUGGUUUAAGCCUGAUGAAAAAUUCUGUUUUGGUUGCUUUAGAGUCAAUGAAGUUUUCACUGCCGCCUAGGGAGCUAGGAGCGGUAAACCCCUAAAUUUUUGGUGAUCAUGGAAUAUGAAAGAGACUUCUGUAAAAAGAAUUCGUUUUUUCCCAGUCUGGGACGUUAAAAUAUGACCCCCCGUAAAUUUUAGGAGUCAGAUACAGACUUAUAUACAGCUAUUUUAGAAGAACACAUAGUGAUAACAAACCUCAUCCAGGCUCCUAAUAAUACGUAAGAAUAACUUUUAAUAAAAAAACAACAUUUUUUGACGGCAUGAUUUUCAUUAUUUUUGAAUCACUUUUUUGACUAGUGCAUUCUUUCUAGUUUCGUCUCAUUUGACUUCAUUUUAUCUAUGACGGUGAUAAUGAUGCCCCCAAAAUAGGACUUUCUGAGGACCAAUCAAAUUAUGGACUUGUGCACUAGCUAUAUGCUAUAUUCUAAACGACAAAACUUUUCUAAAUCUGACUCCUUAUAAACUUUUUAGUAGAUCUCGCUACUUCUGUUUUUUACUUUUUUUUAUAUUUAUUGACAAAAGGAUAUACAUGAUAGUUCUCCGAUUACUAGCAAGCAAACGAAAUGGGAUUAAAAGAAAUCAAUUAUAGAAUUAAAAACCCGUCUGCAGGAUUCGACGUGUUAGCGAUGUUUAUUUUAUACUUUGUGACAAAUAUUUGGCGAACAGAGGAAAAAAUGAGAUGAGACGCAAAUAUUCUAAAUAUUUUUUUUACAUAAAAGGGAUUACAUCUUUUACUAAAACUGUCAUUCUGCUAUGAACUUUGCAAAAGUGCACCCUCACCAUUCACCACCUCCGCCCCUGCCCUUAUUUCACUCUCCGCCCCCUGAGUACUACUUUUACUGUUCUCGAAUAAAUAUCUCUUUGGUUAUAUAGUAAGUUAUAGAAUCAGCUUUCAUUCAGGGUGGCACUUUCUUAUACUUCAAUAACGUUCUUUUUAGCACUUGGGUAGAGGGCGUUAUUAGAGUAUAUUCCAUAUUCCUAAAACCCUUUCUCCAAAUUAGCUUUAUCUUGGCUGUUUUUGGAACAUGAGUAAUGUGUGAUUAUUUUUCACUGAACCUAAAGCUUGUUUUUUCCGACGAAUAGAAAUGAAAUAUUUUAAAGCUCUUAAGUUGGGAGAAAGCCUUUAAACCGAUUUUUUAUUAAUUACGUAUUCUCAUAAGCUGUAUAAAUUUUGUUUUUUUUAUAAUUGUUCGUAAUUGGGAAAUCUUGCAGCUUUAGAAGAAAAGAAGCUGAGUUGUUGUGUUUGUAAAAUGAAAUGAUUUUGAAUUAUGUGUAGUAUGAGCGAAAAUAUAUUAAGAUAUUUUUUACUUAAUAUCAGAAACGCAAAGAGAAUUGUCGCCAGUUUAUUGUUUUUAAACUGUGAAUAUUUUUUGCGCUGUGGACAUCUUAAUGACAACAUUGAGUGGUUGUUAUAAGGAAGAAAAGAAAAGUUUUUAUAAUUGUAAAAAUAUUUAGCGAAGGUUUUUUUUGUGAUAAAUUAUGUUCUUUUUAUGUACAUAUAUGAUGGUGUACGUACAGGAGAAGCGCCUGUCACGUUUCAAUUAUGAUUGUGGAGACAAUAAUUAGUUUUUCUUGAUAGCUAUUGAUGGUUUUCUCUUUUUAGAACGUUUUUUGACGCUUCAUGCAUUUUUUUAAUUUGCCAGACAAGUGUGAUACCUUUGACAUUGACAGAGGAUGUUAUGAGCUUUAAAGAGAAAAUGUUUUUUUUUAACAUAUCCUCUUGGGAGGUAGUAUUUAUAUUUAGAUGUUGUACUGGAUGUAAAAGUUUGGAGUGAUGGCAGUUAGUUUAUUAUAUGGUUUAUGGAGGUUUUUAAAACACUAUAUUAUGUGGAAAUCUCUACUUGACUUUUCUUUCACGAUUUCAACUUUCUCGAAGUGUUUUUUUCUUCUAUCAUUCACGGCACUUUCAUUUCUUCGUAUUUCUUCUUAUUUUUGUCUAAAAAUUUAAUUACUUCGUGUGUUUGAAGAUAAGUGAUGUGAAGUAAUCUGGCACGCGAAAGAAACUUUUUUCUUGUUGAAAACUUCUAGAUUUUAAGAUUUGAAUAUUUUUAAGUCGUAUAAGAUGCAAUCGGCGAUAAAAAAAAUUGAAGAUUUUAAAAAUCUGAGAAGUCGUCAUUUGUGUAAGGGGAAAUAGUAACUUUAUCAAGAAAAUUAUGAUAGCGAGAUGUUCAAGAUACCAAGAGUAUUUUGGUCUAUGGUUUCUAAUAAUGAAUACAGGCUCUUCUAAUAAUAUGAGUAAUUCUUUAAAAGUAUACGGUUUCCAAGGCGACAUCUGAAUUCUUUUAACGUGAUGUUUACAUAGACAAAACUUUUCAGAUAUCAUGUGAUCAAAUAUGAUUACGUCAUCAUUAACUGACAAGUUUCGUGAGGAUUGAAACUUUUUGUUUUAUCAUUUGUUUGUUUGUUUGUUUAUAAGGCGAGAGAUAGGAAUUACACAUUUCAUAUUUUACAUAAUUCCAUAAAAAGAUUCCUUCCGCAAAUUUCCUCUUUCUUAAAAUACCUACACACUUCCUAAUGUGUGAAAAACAAUGUAAAAUUAUUUCCUUUGCAAUACCGAGUCCAUAUGUGGUGUAUCAGGUGAUAACCUCGUUUGCAUGUAGCCUCAUUUUAUACGGAACUAACUUAGCUGUUGCUAUAAGGCUGAUUAAUUAUUAUUGGUUUCUUUUAUAAGUUUUUUUAUUAAUUUUUAUGUAGUUUCCGAUAAAUCAUAACAAAAAGUUCAGAUCAAUCUUUGCGGUUUAUUAGAACAGGUAGUACUGGAGCCCUUUUUUAAUUUUACUGUUUCGUCUCGAUAUCCCAUUCUGAGAAUUAACUUUAAAACUGGGUAAACAAAGACUUUUGUUUUUCUUGACAUUAAAAAGUUGUCAUCAAAAAUGAAAAUUCUGUCAAAUACGCGUCGUCCAAGUUUUUCUUAUCUUCGCUUGAAAACAAUUUUAUCUUGAACUUGCACUUGAGUUAUCUCGGUAGACGACAAAGGUCUCCGCUAGCUAUUAUCUAAAUUGCAUCUUUGAAACGAUCUAUCAUUACCCAUAUCCGCUCUAGUAAUUUUGUCUAGCGAUAUUAAUCAAUUGACCGAUAUUGAUAAAAGUAAACAUUUUAAUUCGAUAAAUCACGUUUUUUCUUGCAUGUAUACAGAAAGAUGGAAUGAAACAGAAGGGCAGUCAUUUUUUUGUUUCGUUUUAUUGUAUUACUGUGAAUUAGUCAAAUCAAAUUAUUCGCAUGAAAAAAUUUGUACUUAUUUAUGCUAGGACCUAAUUUAUAUGAACAAGAAAAAAGGGAAUUUUCUUUCAA
Molecule: RNA transcript, 5551 nt
Organism: Hydractinia symbiolongicarpus
Lineage: Eukaryota; Metazoa; Cnidaria; Hydrozoa; Anthoathecata; Hydractiniidae
Gene name: protein lin-7 homolog C-like
Exons: 11
Source: RefSeq, a predicted model, not a curated record